Molecule: ribosomal RNA, 447 nt
Filed under: uncultured bacterium
Lineage: Bacteria
Description: bacterial SSU rRNA
Rfam family: Bacterial small subunit ribosomal RNA
Source: RNAcentral
UCGGGAAUUUUGGGCAAUGGGCGAAAGCCUGACCCAGCAACGCCGCGUGAAGGAUGAAGUAUUUCGGUAUGUAAACUUCGUAAGAAUAGGAAGAAUAAAUGACGGUACUAUUUGUAAGGUCCGGCUAACUACGUGCCAGCAGCCGCGGUAAUACGUAGGGACCAAGCGUUGUUCGGAUUUACUGGGCGUAAAGGGCGCGUAGGCGGUGUGUCAAGUCAGUUGUGAAAUCUCCGAGCUUAACUUGGAACGGUCAACUGAUACUGUCACACUAGAGUACAGAAGGGGCAAUCGGAAUUCUUGGUGUAGCGGUGAAAUGCGUAGAUAUCAAGAGGAACACCUGAGGCGAAGGCGGGUUGCUGGGCUGAUACUGACGCUGAGGCGCGAAAGCUAGGGUAGCAAACGGGAUUAGAUACCCCCGUAGUCCCUGAGCGGGCUGGCAAGGCGCAU